CAUUGCGGGAUGCUUACCAUGCAAGUCGAACGGAAUCCUUAGGGAUUUAGUGGCGGACGGGUGAGUAACGCGUGAGAAUCUGGCUUCAGGUCUGGGACAACAGUUGGAAACGACUGCUAAUACCGGAUGUGCCGAGAGGUGAAAGGCUUGCUGCCUGAAGAUGAGCUUGCGUCUGAUUAGCUAGUUGGUGGGGUAAGAGCCUACCAAGGCGACGAUCAGUAGCUGGUCUGAGAGGAUGAUCAGCCACACUGGGACUGAGACACGGCCCAGACUCCUACGGGAGGCAGCAGUGGGGAAUUUUCCGCAAUGGGCGAAAGCCUGACGGAGCAAUACCGCGUGAGGGAGGAAGGCUCUUGGGUUGUAAACCUCUUUUCUCAGGGAAGAAAAAAAUGACGGUACCUGAGGAAUAAGCAUCGGCUAACUCCGUGCCAGCAGCCGCGGUAAUACGGAGGAUGCAAGCGUUAUCCGGAAUGAUUGGGCGUAAAGGGUCCGCAGGUGGCUAUGUAAGUCUGCUGUUAAAUAGUCAUGCUCAACAUGAUCAAGGCAGUGGAAACUACAAGGCUAGAGUGCGUUCGGGGCAGAGGGAAUUCCUGGUGUAGCGGUGAAAUGCGUAGAAAA
Molecule: ribosomal RNA, 618 nt
Filed under: Anabaena sp. 57
Lineage: Bacteria; Bacillati; Cyanobacteriota; Cyanophyceae; Nostocales; Nostocaceae
Description: bacterial SSU rRNA
Rfam family: Bacterial small subunit ribosomal RNA
Source: RNAcentral